RNAcentral lists this ribosomal RNA (491 nucleotides) under uncultured bacterium. Its description in RNAcentral is "partial 16S ribosomal RNA". It matches the Rfam family "Bacterial small subunit ribosomal RNA", at positions 29 to 506 of the family's 1533-position model. The record is from RNAcentral.
AGUGAACGCUGGCGGUAGGCCUAACACAUGCAAGUCGAACGGCAGCACAGUAAGAGCUUGCUCUUACGGGUGGCGAGUGGCGGACGGGUGAGGAAUACAUCGGAAUCUACUUUUUCGUGGGGGAUAACGUAGGGAAACUUACGCUAAUACCGCAUACGACCUACGGGUGAAAGCAGGGGAUCUUCGGACCUUGCGCGAUUGAAUGAGCCGAUGUCGGAUUAGCUAGUUGGCGGGGUAAAGGCCCACCAAGGCGACGAUCCGUAGCUGGUCUGAGAGGAUGAUCAGCCACACUGGAACUGAGAAACGGUCCAGACUCCUACGGGAGGCAGCAGGGGGGAAUAUUGGACAAUGGGCGCAAGCCUGAUCCAGCCAUACCGCGUGGGUGAAGAAGGCCUUCGGGUUGUAAAGCCCUUUUGUUGGGAAAGAAAAGCAGCAGGUUAAUACCCCGCUGUUCUGACGGUACCCAAAGAAUAAGCACCGGCUAACUUCGU